This 229-nucleotide ribosomal RNA is filed under the name uncultured bacterium. Its description in RNAcentral is "partial 16S ribosomal RNA". It matches the Rfam family "Bacterial small subunit ribosomal RNA", at positions 568 to 796 of the family's 1533-position model. The record is from RNAcentral.
UGCGCAGGCGGAAAAUUAAGUCAGAAGUGAAAGCCCCGAGCUCAACUUGGGAACUGCUUUUGAUACUGAUUUUCUUGAAUAUAGUUGAGGUAGGCGGAAUACAACAUGUAGCGGUGAAAUGCAUAGAUAUGUUGUAGAACACCAAUUGCGAAGGCAGCUUACUAAACUAUUAUUGACGCUGAGGCACGAAAGCGUGGGGAGCGAACAGGAUUAGAUACCCUGGUAGUCC